This 589-nucleotide long non-coding RNA is filed under the name Homo sapiens (human). Its description in RNAcentral is "long non-coding RNA NONHSAT185737.1". The record is from RNAcentral. Lineage: Eukaryota; Metazoa; Chordata; Mammalia; Primates; Hominidae.
AUUCAGAUGAUCUAGAAGAAGAUGAAGAAGAAGAAGAUCAAAGUAUUGAAGAAAGUGAAGAUGAUGAUUCUGAUUCAGAGAGUGAAGCACAACAUAAAAGUAACAACCAGGUGCUAUUACAUGGUAUUUCAGACCCAAAAGCAGAUGGACAGAAAGCAACUGAAAAAGCCCAGGAAAAAAGAAUACACCAGCCAUUACCUCUUGCGUCUGAAUCCCAGACUCACUCAUUCCAAUCCCAGCAGAAGCAGCCUCAGGUUUUGUCACAGCAGCUUCCAUUUAUUUUCCAAAGCUCUCAGGCAAAGGAGGAAUCUGUGAACAAACACACCAGUGUAAUACAGUCUACGGGAUUGGUGUCCAAUGUGAAACCUUUAUCUUUGGUAAAUCAAGCCAAAAAGGAAACUUACAUGAAACUCAUAGUUCCUUCUCCUGAUGUUCUUAAAGCAGGGAAUAAAAAUACCUCUGAAGAAUCUAGUUUAUUGACCAGUGAAUUGAGAUCCAAACGGGAACAAUAUAAACAGGCAUUCCCAUCACAGUUAAAGAAACAAGAGUCAUCGAAGAGCCUGAAGAAGGUUAUUGCAGCUUUGUCAAA